AGAACCCUCAAGUUUUGUGUGUUUAAUCUGAUCAAGUUGCUCAGUGAUCUCAGGGGUUAGAGAAUUCUUCCAAUCGCCAAUGAUACCCUUGCCUGAAGAAGGCACUAUGUGGCUGGCAUCUCAACCCAAGGAUCCUCACCAUUUUUGUUCACCUCGAAGUUUUUCAGCCUCUGGAGUCUGGAAAUCACACCUCAUAAGCACCUUUCUCCAUGAAGGGUUGGGAAUGGGCAGAGUAUUCCAGUGUGAAGUGAUAGAUGGGUUCCUUAACCGCAGCAGUUUAAGCGUAUUCGAGCUGUCCCGCUGGGCUCUAUUUCGAAGGAUAAUACGUUGGCCUGGCACUGAGCCUUCCACCAAAGGUUAUUAAUUUUAUUUGGCGGGCUUGUUUAGAUGUGCUUCCCACUCGGGUGAUGUUGAGCAGAUGGAUUUCCUCUUUAGCACGAACUUAUUUAUUCUGCACAGGUGAACAAACUUUUCUGCAUUUGCUUAGGGACUGUAAUUCUUUGAACUCUGUUUGGUCUCUUAUGGGACUUCCUCAGGUUGGUCAGGUCAAGACAUCUCUUUUGAAUUGUGGUUUUAUGAAGUGAUGCAACUCUUGUCAAGGGAUGAUCUUUGUUGCUUUGUUGUGACCUAUUAUAAUAUUUGGUAUGUCCGAAAUAAGUGUUUGCACGAGAUUGUGAGUUUGGAUUGUUCAAGCACUGUUUCCUGUUCCGAGUAUAUGCAGCAAGAGUAUUAUGAGUUUUUUUGGCUUUCCAAGAGUUGAUAAUAAUGUUGUUCAUGGGAUUAGUGUGAAGAAAUGGAUCCCUCCUGCUGGUUUAAUGAUUAAACUAAAUGUUGAUGCUAGAGUUAGGGGGUAAUGGGUUCAUCAAUUGUGGUGCUGUCUUCCGUGAUGUUCAGGGUGUAGUCCUAGCUUAGACUUCUAAAACUGUUGUGGGAAGUUGGGAUGUAAGUGUUGCGGAGGCUCUAGCAAUGUUUAUGAGUUGAAGUUGGCUGUGUAUUUACAUUUCUUGUGGCAGAAUUUGAUUAUAAAUUUCUCACUGAUAAAUUGAAGGCUGGGGUUCAUUUGUAUGAUAGUCUUGGGAUAGCUUUGGCCAUUUAUUUCUUCUGUCAGCAACAAUUUCAGUAUUGUGAGUGGUCUUUUGUGCCGAGAUCUGAUAAUACAAUGGCCCAUGAAAUGACAACGGUGUAUGGCGAUGAAGUGGGCGAGCUAGUUUGGGUGGAAAAAGUUCACGUCGCUGCUAAAAUUUUGUUGAUUCUGAUGCUUUGUUUUCGUAUUGUGUAAUGCUUUUGGCAUUUAUUUAAAAAAACAUUUAAU
RNAcentral lists this unclassified non-coding RNA (1312 nucleotides) under Hevea brasiliensis (rubber tree). Lineage: Eukaryota; Viridiplantae; Streptophyta; Magnoliopsida; Malpighiales; Euphorbiaceae. The record is from RNAcentral.